GAUUUUUUUGAAAUGUUGAAAAAAUAUGCCUAAAUUUUUUUACCAUGUAAAAGUAACCGGGGUGGAUGUACUUGCGUUUGCUGAAUGCCAUAYRCUAAAUUUUUUUACCAUGUAAAAUUGGUGAAACAAUACUGUAAAUUUUUUUACCAUGUAAAAUUUGCUGGUGUGGACUUAGAGAAAUUUUAUACUGUAAAUUUUUUUACCUUGUAGAUUUUGCUCUACAGGGUGUGGGGUGGACUUGACUUUUUUUUUUUUUUUUAAUGAACUUCAGGGCUAGUUUCUAGUGUGUUAGCCAAGGACCAUAUUUUUGUGUUACACUUUCAGCUUCUCAGC
This 333-nucleotide unclassified non-coding RNA is filed under the name Puccinia novopanici. The record is from RNAcentral. Lineage: Eukaryota; Fungi; Basidiomycota; Pucciniomycetes; Pucciniales; Pucciniaceae.